RNAcentral lists this ribosomal RNA (502 nucleotides) under uncultured bacterium. RNAcentral describes it as "partial 16S ribosomal RNA". It matches the Rfam family "Bacterial small subunit ribosomal RNA", at positions 28 to 507 of the family's 1533-position model. The record is from RNAcentral.
GACGAACGCUGGCGGCGUGCCUAAUACAUGCAGGUCGAACGAACCGCGACUAGGUGCUUGCACUUGGUCAAGGUGAGUGGCGAACGGGUGAGUAACACGUGGGUAACCUACCUCAUAGUGGGGGAUAACAGUCGGAAACGACUGCUAAUACCGCAUAGGACAUAGGAUCACAUGAUUCUGUGAGGAAAGGUGGCGCAAGCUAUCGCUAAGAGAUGGACCCGCGGUGCAUUAGCUAGUUGGUAGGGUAAAGGCCUACCAAGGCGAUGAUGCAUAGCCGACCUGAGAGGGGGAUCGGCCACAUUGGGACUGAGACACGGCCCAAACUCCUGCGGGAGGCAGCAGUGGGGAAUCUUCCGCAAUGGACGCAAGUCUGACGGAGCAACGCCGCGUGAGUGAAGAAGGUCUUCGGAUCGUAAAGCUCUGUUGUUAGAGAAGAACAGCGCAUAGAGUAACUGUUAUGCGUGUGACGGUAUCUAACCAGAAAGCCACGGCUAACUACGUG